Molecule: unclassified non-coding RNA, 1852 nt
Filed under: Zea mays
Lineage: Eukaryota; Viridiplantae; Streptophyta; Magnoliopsida; Poales; Poaceae
Description: misc RNA Zm00001eb196490
Source: RNAcentral
CUGACAUGGAGAUAUGUGACGGUAGUAGGCCAGUCCACGCUGGUGGUCGUACGACGUGGGCCUACUAGGCUAUCUGCUUUCCCGUGCGGGUCGCCAGGCCCGGGCCGGGCACGAUGGCGUCCUCUGCCCGCGUUUUCCGCACGGGAGGAGGAACGGCGCCUGCGCCACGGCCCACACGCCGCCACCACCGCGACACGCUCCCGAUCGACACGCCAACAAACCGCCAGUCCGGGCCAUCCGUGGAGGAAAACGAGCACGACGUCGUCGCGCUCACGCCCCGGGGCCGCUUCCGUUUCGGCUCCCCCUCCCCUCCCCUCCCGUAAACCUCUGAACCCUCAUCGAGUUUCUGUGGACGCCACGCCACGCGACCAUACGUGUAUAGCACGCAGCGCGGCAUCGGCGUCGCACGCACUCGCGCUUGCCGCUGGACGGAGGAGCGGAGCACCGAUCGGCCGGGCUCGGUGCACGCGCCUAGCGGAUGAAGAUGGCCGUGCUCGCGGGCGCGGCCGUCGUUGCGGUGGCGGCGGCGGCGAUGGUCGCCGCGCUCCUGUCCUCCCCGGACGCGCUGCGCGACGUCGCGGUGCUGGAGAUUGGCGGCGGGGAAGGCCGUGUCGAGUUGGUCCCCGUGGACGCCGGCGCCGCGGGGCCCGAGAGCCUGGCGUUCGACCCGGCCGGCGGCGGCCCGUACGCGGGCGUGUCGGACGGCCGCGUCCUCCGGUGGGUCCCCGGCGAGCGGCGCUGGGAAGAGCACUCGGCCUCCUGCGCGCCCGAACUGCUGGACAGCUGCAGGGGCUCCCAGGACCCGGGGCGCGAGCACGAGUGCGGGCGCCCGUUGGGCCUCAAGUUCAACCCCGACACGGGGGAGCUCUACGUGGCCGACGCCUACCACGGCCUGCGCAUGGUCGCGCCGGGCCCGGGCGGCGGCAAGGCGUCGAGGCCGGUGGCGCCGGAGUGGUGGCAGGGCGCGCGCGCCUUCAGCUUCGCCAACGGCGUCGAGGUCGACCCGGGCACCGGCGCCGUCUACUUCACCGAGACGAGCACGAGGUUCCAGAGGCGGGAGUUCCUGCGCAUCGUCGUGUCCGGCGACACGACGGGGCGGCUGCUGCGGUACGACCCGAGGGGCGGCGGUGGGGUGGAGGUGCUGGCCGACGGCCUGGCGUUCCCCAACGGCCUCGCGAUGAGCAGCGACGGCACGCACCUGCUGCUGGCGGAGACCACCACGGGGAGGAUCCUCCGGUACUGGCUCCGCCCGACGGCUCCCAAGGCGCCGGCGCUGCUGGAGGAGGUGGCGCGGCUGCCGUGGUUCCCGGACAACAUCAGGAUGAGCCCCCGGGGCGGCUUCUGGGUGGGGCUCCACGCCAGGAGGGGCAAGCUCGCCCAGUACUGCAUCUCCUACCCCUGGCUCCGGCGCCUGGUGCUGGCGCUGCCGCCGCGCCACGUCCAGCGCGCCUCGUCGCUGCUCAGCCGCCUCGGGCGGCAGGUCAUCGCGCUGCGGCUGAGCGAGGAGGACGGGAGGGUGGUGGAGAUGGCCAGCGUCCACGGGGAUCUUCGGAGGGUGUUCAGGUCCGUCAGCGAAGUGGCGGAGAGGAACGGCAGCAUCUGGAUUGGCUCUGUCAUGUCGCCGUUUCUCGGAGUCUACAAGUUGCAGUAGAGGCAUUUACGCUUAAAUAUGGAUUCAGUAGCUUAUUAUAGCAAAGGAAAACAUACAUCGCAUCUAUAUUUGUGUAUAAAAUUCCUUGUGUCGUCGAUGGACAUGUUCAUCUGGCCAGAGGUUGUGAAAAGCGUCUAUGCAUCUAUGAACUGAAUGCAUGAGAUGGUCCUGGGCCCCAUUCAACUUGUGUGAAGCCUUGAG